AGCAGCCGCGGUAAUUCCAGCUCCAAUAGCGUAUAUUAAAGUUGUUGCAGUUAAAAAGCUCGUAGUUGAAUUUCAGGCCUGGCUGGACGGUCCGCCCUUCGGGUGAGUACUGUCUGUGGUCGGGUCCUACCUUCUGGCGAAGCGUCAUGGCCUUAACCGGCCGUGGCGGGGAACCAGGACUUUUACUGUGAAAAAAUUAGAGUGUUCAAAGCAGGCAAAUCGCUUGGAUACAUUAGCAUGGAAUAAUGGAAUAGGACGAUGGUUCUAUUUGUUGGUUUCUAGGACCGUUGUAAUGAUUAAUAGGGAUAGUUGGGGGCAUUAGUAUUCAAUUGUCAGAGGUGAAAUUCUUGGAUUUAUUGAAGACUAACUACUGCGAAAGCAUCUGCCAAGGAUGUUUUCAUUAAUCAAGAACGAAAGUUAGGGGAUCGAAGACGAUCAGAUACCGUCGUAGUCUUAACCAUAAACUAUGCCGACUAGGAAUCGGGCGAUGUUGACAAAAAUGACGCGCUCGGCACCUCAU
Molecule: ribosomal RNA, 520 nt
Filed under: uncultured Paraglomus
Lineage: Eukaryota; Fungi; Glomeromycota; Glomeromycetes; Paraglomerales; Paraglomeraceae
Description: SSU rRNA
Rfam family: Eukaryotic small subunit ribosomal RNA
Source: RNAcentral